AAGUUUGGACCAAUGAGGCAGUGCACUUGCUAGCUGGCUGUUGUGUUCUGGAAGCUUACAGCUGCUAGCUGCACUCCACAUUGUUUCAUUCUG
MicroRNA precursor from Xenopus tropicalis (tropical clawed frog), 93 nucleotides. The record is from Ensembl. Lineage: Eukaryota; Metazoa; Chordata; Amphibia; Anura; Pipidae.